This 432-nucleotide unclassified non-coding RNA is filed under the name Hevea brasiliensis (rubber tree). Lineage: Eukaryota; Viridiplantae; Streptophyta; Magnoliopsida; Malpighiales; Euphorbiaceae. The record is from RNAcentral.
UCCAAAUUGUGCAGCUUUUCUUAGGAUCAGUAGCUAAUCUAUGAGUAACAUGCGACAUUUUCCUUCUAUCAUCUCUUCUAUUUUAUUAUGUGAGGAAACUUUACAUAUUUUCAUAUGCUUUUUAAUUAAUUUAUUUAAUGACACCAAAAAAAUAAAAAUUCCUAGAAGAAAAAUCGUUCAUUUAGAACAAGAGAAAGACCGAAAAUAUAUGAUCCAUAUCCUUUUAUAUUCAAUCUUUGUGGGACAUUAUUGCACAUGAAGCAAAUGCAUUGACAAUGGUAAUUCAAUUAGUUAACAUCCACAAACUGGACCUUCUAUUUAAAGGCAUGUGAAACCAAGCAGCAAACCAGACCAGUAAUAGAAAAACUAGAAGCAACAAAUUAAUGAGUAUUUGAAAUAAAGUAAGAGUAUCAAAAUAUUCAACGUGCAUUG